UGAGGAAUCUUGCGCAAUGGGGGAAACCCUGACGCAGCAACGCCGCGCGAGUGAGGAGGGUCUUCGGGUCGUAAAGCUCUGUCAGGCGGGAAGAAAUGCAUGGAGGUGAACAGCCGCCAUGCUUGACGGUACCGCCAGAGGAAGCACCGGCUAACUCCGUGCCAGCAGCCGCGGUAAUACGGGGGGUGCAAGCGUUGUUCGGAAUCAUUGGGCGUAAAGAGCGUGUAGGCGGCUUGGUAAGUCAGAUGUGAAAGCCCUGGGCUCAACCCGGGAAGUGCAUUUGAAACUGCCAGGCUCGAGUAGGGGAGAGGGAAGUGGAAUUCCUGGUGUAGAGAUGAAAUUCGUAGAUAUCAGGAGGAACACCGGUGGCGAAGGCGACUUCCUGGCCCUAUACUGACGCUGAGACGCGAGAGCGUGGGUAGCAAACAG
RNAcentral lists this ribosomal RNA (429 nucleotides) under uncultured bacterium. Its description in RNAcentral is "bacterial SSU rRNA". It matches the Rfam family "Bacterial small subunit ribosomal RNA", at positions 355 to 775 of the family's 1533-position model. The record is from RNAcentral.